Molecule: long non-coding RNA, 2749 nt
Organism: Oncorhynchus tshawytscha (Chinook salmon)
Lineage: Eukaryota; Metazoa; Chordata; Actinopteri; Salmoniformes; Salmonidae
Exons: 3
Source: RefSeq, a predicted model, not a curated record
GCCAACCGACGAGAGCAUACAGGUCGCAGUGGUGGGUGGUAUAAGGGGCUUUGGUUACAAAGCGGAUGGCACUGUGAUCGACUGCAUCCAGUUUGCUGAUUAGGUGACACAACAUAGAAUGCCUUGUGGAGAUUGAGCAAUGGAGAGUUGGCCCGCAUCAGCCCAAAGGUUGUGGUGCAGUGGGUGGGCACCAAUAAUCAUGGUCACACUGCAGAGCAGAUCUGUGGAGGCAUCAUGGCCAUAGUCCAACUCAUCAAAGACAAGCUGACUUGCACAGGACGCACUGAUAAAUAUCUCUGACACUGAUUCUGUAGCCGCUGUUGUUGUGACCCUACAAGCCUCCCGGGCUGGUGUUUACUCAACACUCGUUGCUGUGGGAUUAAUAUAUAAGUCCCUUCUCAGAGAAGCUUGUUAGACAUUCCUCUUGGAUUCUGUUCUGGAGAUGUUCUCUGUGAAUUCUUGUAAUAAACUGAAAUGAUUUAGAUUAAUAUGAUUGACUGCUCUCCCUUUUGUUCACCUCGAAAAUCCCCUUUACAACCAUUAACCUUUUUGAUAACACAAACUUAAAUUAUGAACUGCAUACUUUAUGGACUCAAUUAUCAUUGCUAACCAUAUUGUCACGUUUGUCCUUUCUAGCAUGGGAAUCUAGUGAUUACAAUGCACAGGAGGUUGGUGGGACCUUAAUUUGGGAGCAUGAGCUUGUGGUAAUGGCUGGAGCUGAAUCAGUGGAAUACUAUCACACACAUGGUUUCCAGGUGUUUGAUGCCAUUCCAUUUGCUCCAUUACAGACAUUAUUAUGAGCUCUUCUCCCCUCAGCAGCCUCCUGUGCUUUCAUGCAUGUCUCCAACCACAGGGAGUGCUGCCCAGGGGUUAGAUGCCCAACGGGAGAGGAAAGAUAGGUCAUCAAGCUGGUCCAGGAGUCUGUGUCCUCUCUCCCCCACACCUCCCUCCUCAACGUAGACCCUGGCUUUGUGCACUUGGACGGCAGCAUCACCCACCAGGACCUGUAUGACUACAUCUCACCCCCCAGGGCUACCAGGCUGUAUGCCAGCCGCUACAUGCCCACCUCAAGGGCCUGCUGGAGAAACAGGCUGAAAACUGAAGGCCAAAGACCAACUGAUGACCGAAUGACCCACUCACUACAUCAGAGGUAAAAACCCUGGUCCUGGAGAGCCACAAGAGUACAGGCUUUUAGCACAUUCACUACACUUUUUAGUAUUUUAGUACAGAUUUCUUUUCUAACCCAUGAUUCAAAUAAUGAACUAGUUCUUGAUUAGUUGAAUCACGUUGAAUGUUUUGAAUGCUGGGCUGGAAGAAAAGCCUGCACUAAAAAGGCUUUCUAGAACCAGGGUUAGUAACCACUGCACUACUCCAUUCUAUUGGACCAUAAUGUAUGGGGCGGCAGGUACCCUAGUGGUUAGAGCGUUGGACUAGUAACCGAAAGGUUGCUGGAUCAAAUCACUGAGCUGACAAGAUAAAAAUCUAUUGUUCUAACCCUGAACAAGGCAGUUAAUCCACUGUUCCUAGGCCAUCAUUGUAAAUAAUAAUUUCUUUACUGACUUGCCUUGUUAAGAGUAGAGGACCGCUAAGAGUAGAGGACCGCUAAGAGUAGAGGACCGCUAAGAGUAGAGGACCGCUAAGAGUAGAGGACCGCUAAGAGUAGAGGACCGCUAAGAGUAGAGGACCGCUAAGAGUAGAGGACCGCUAAGAGUAGAGGACCGCUAAGAGUAGAGGACCGCUAAGAGUAGAGGACCGCUAAGAGUAGAGGACCGCUAAGAGUAGAGGACCGCUAAGAGUAGAGGACCGCUAAGAGUAGAGGACCGCUAAGAGUAGAGGACCGCUAAGAGUAGAGGACCUAGUCAAUGCAUUCAACCCGAAAUGUGUCUUCCACAUUUAACCUAACCACUCAGAAUCAGGACAAGAGAGGAAAUUGACCUUCCAAGACUAUAACUGCUGCUGUUAUUCUAAAAUGGCAGAUGUAAUGUAUUGGUGAGGCAAACAGCAGGAUACACUCCAAAGACAUCCAUCGCCCAUCUCCCUGGGUGUCCAUGCCAGGAGUGGGUGUGGCGGCGGGGUUGGAGUCUUCUGAGCUCAUCACUUUGUCUGUCUAGUGUCAGAAAGAAUCAAAGUGAAAAUUAUGUCUCGGUAGAUUAGAGCUGAUGGAUUGAUGCUUAUUGUAUGUGAAUCAAUAAAGCAACUAACUAUGGGUAGCUACAGUAGAAUACCGCAAAACAAUUCCAAGUGAAAUGUGUAACCCUAUUCACAAAUGGGCGUACACUGGCAUUAUGGGACCUAAAUAAUAUAUAACGAUGGCAGAAACAAAUACUUUAGCACAAAUAACCAAAACACGAGCUAGCUAGCUAGCUGACCAUUUCUGGUGCUACGGGUGGGUGUUAUGUUGACCAGUGAGCUGAGAUAAGGCGGAGCUUUACCUAGCAAAGACUUAUAGAUGACCUGGAGCCAGUGGGUCUGGCGACGAUUAUGUAGCGAGGGCCAACUGACGAGAGCAUACAGGUUGCAGUGGUAGGUGGUAUAAGGGGAUUUGGUUACAAAGCGGAUGGUACUGUGAUAGACUGCAUCCAGUUUGCUGAGUAGGUGACGCAACAUAGAAUGCCUUGUGGAGAUUGAGCAAUGGAGAGUUGGCCCACAUCAGCCCAAAGGUUGUGGUGCUGUGGGUGGGCACCAAUAAUCAUGGUCACACUGCAGAGCAGAUCUGUGGAGGCAUCAUGGCCAUAGUCCAACUCAUCAA